This 497-nucleotide ribosomal RNA is filed under the name uncultured bacterium. RNAcentral describes it as "partial 16S ribosomal RNA". It matches the Rfam family "Bacterial small subunit ribosomal RNA", at positions 28 to 507 of the family's 1533-position model. The record is from RNAcentral.
GAUGAACGCUGGCGGCGUGCCUAAUACAUGCAAGUCGAGCGAACAGACGAGGAGCUUGCUCCUCUGUCGUUAGCGGAGGACGGGUGAGUAACACGUGGAUAACCUCCCUAUAAGUCUGGGAUCUUUUCGGGAAACCGGAGCUAAUACCGGAUAAUAUCUUGAACCGCAUGGUUCAAUGGUGAAAGACGGCUUUGCUGUCACUUAUAGAUGGAUCCCCGCCGCAUUGGCUAGUUGGUACGGUAACGGCUUAUGAAGGCGACGAUGCGUAGCCGACCGGAGAGAGUGGUCGGCCACACUGGAACGUAGACGCGGUCAAUGCGCCUACGGGAGGCAGCAGAAGGGUAUCGUCCGCAAUAGGCGAGAGCCUGACAGAAUGACGCCGAGUGAGUGAUGAAGGUCUUCGGAGCGUAAAACUCUGUUAUUAGGGAAGAACAAAUGUGUAAGGAGCUGAGCACUUCUUGACGGUACCGAAUCAGAAAGCCACGGCUAACUACGUG